Molecule: long non-coding RNA, 124 nt
Organism: Sinocyclocheilus rhinocerous
Lineage: Eukaryota; Metazoa; Chordata; Actinopteri; Cypriniformes; Cyprinidae
Exons: 2
Source: RefSeq, a predicted model, not a curated record
GAAACUCUACAAACAAUAUUAGACUGCAUCUGAAAUCAGAUAUUCACUGAGCAGGAGAUUAUGGAGAUUUGCUUGAUAUGAAACAUCAUCAUCAGCUGAGAGAUGAAUGCAGAAAGAGUGUCUG